Molecule: long non-coding RNA, 699 nt
Organism: Gallus gallus (chicken)
Lineage: Eukaryota; Metazoa; Chordata; Aves; Galliformes; Phasianidae
Source: Ensembl
UAUAGUUACUCAGGUAUAGAAACACUGGAAGAAGGUAUAAAUAUGGAGGCCUAAAGGAGUAUUUAACUUACAGCUAUCCUAUAAAACAACAAACAAGAUGAUUUUAUGUUUUUCCUGAAAAUGUGGCAUGCAAGGCUACGAAGAGAGAAACAUAGCUGCAGGAAAGCUACUAUCUGAAACUUCCAUCAGAGAACACUUUCAGGAGCACUCUCAGGGAGUCAUCUUCACAGAACAUCUGGAGGAAUAUCUGGAUUCACACUGAAGGGAUGAAAGUGGGAACUCAACAUGUCACAUGAUGGCAUUGGACUACUGCAGCAGGACUGUACCAUGGAAAGGUGUAAAAAAUGGAAGGUGUGGGAAAAUUUGACCUUCAGCUGGACUACAGUGUGUAAACUUUAUCUUAAAUAUGGGUAUGAAAAUUGUACUCUGCAAUAAACAAAAUAUAAGCUUUUCCAAAGGGAAAAUUAACAUGGAAAAUAAAAACCAUAUGAUAUAACCAUGUGUCAAAAUAAUAAUAACAAUAAUAAAAAGAUUUCAGCCUUAAAUGUAUUAUUACCUACACCUCUGAUUACUGUGGAAAAUUUUCUAAGAUUUCCUAUUUAACACAUAUCUUUUCAGGAUUUCUGUCACAGUUCAUGCAGUUCACACUGACAGGGUCUCUGUUCAGGGGAAAACUUAACCAAAAAGACAUUCUCCUUG